GACGAACGCUGGCGGCGUGCUUAACACAUGCAAGUCGAACGGAAAGGCCCUGCUUUUGUGGGGUGCUCGAGUGGCGAACGGGUGAGUAACACGUGAGUAACCUGCCCUUGACUUUGGGAUAACUUCAGGAAACUGGGGCUAAUACCGGAUAGGAGCUCCUGCUGCAUGGUGGGGGUUGGAAUGUUUCGGCGGUUGGGGAUGGACUCGCGGCUUAUCAGCUUGUUGGUGGGGUAGUGUCUUACCACGGCGUUGACGGGUAGCCGGCCUGAGAGGGUAGCCGGGGAGAUAGGGAUGUGUGUACUUUCGAGAUUCAUACGGGAGGAGGAAGAGGGGAAUUGUGCACAGUGCACGGAAACACUGUGCCGGAACACCGAAAGAAGGAUUACGGAAUUCGGUUUGUAACCCGCUAUCGCCUGUGACAAAGCGAGAGUGACGGUAUUGGUAUGAGAAGCACCCGCUUAAUACGUG
Molecule: ribosomal RNA, 468 nt
Filed under: uncultured bacterium
Lineage: Bacteria
Description: partial 16S ribosomal RNA
Rfam family: Bacterial small subunit ribosomal RNA
Source: RNAcentral